UGACCUGUGGUACCCCACCCCCUCGUUUACCACAACUAACGUUACAGUUCUCUCUCGCUCUCUCCCCCCUCUUUCCAUGGCAGAGCCUUUCCCCAUCUCCAUGACCAUUUUUGGCUAACAAUUCAACUAUUCUUCAGCCAUGGUAGAGUAUUGUCGUACCAUAUUCGGGUAAAUCUCUGUCUCUCUUGCUUUAUCUUUUCAAGAUCCAUGUCGUUCUGUGAUCUCCUUCAAUUUGGUCAACAUAAAAGACCAAAAUUACGUUUGAAAUCUCUGUGGGAGAAUCACCAAGGCAGAGAUUCAAUUUCAAACGGCUACUUUUCAAAAUCAAAUCUGAAAAAUUCCCGCUCAAGAAGCCCUAGAUAUAAUCUGCUGUUAUAAAUACCUGCAUUUGGCCUUAAUUUCGGACCAGCUCAUAGUCGCCGCUACUCCCCUCCAAACUUUCGAAAUACCUUCUACUUCAUACAUAUCCUCCAUAAAUAUAGCUUUAAAUCGUGUUUCAUUGCUCAUCUUCUCCCCUCUCAGAUCUUUGUUGGCCUUCAGCCGUGACAAAGAUUUGUCGGUCUGAUUGUGUCGCUUGGGUCGUGAAGGAGGUUUGAAGCGGAGAUUCGAGUAGUCAUUGGCAAACCCCAGUUUACUGCCCUGCAAAAGCUAACAUGGAGUCUUAAUGCAAGACUCUCCAUACCCGAGCACGGAAUCAUCACAUCCAAUGUUCUUAUAGAGUCACCGAAUAACAAGAAAACAAGCAAAUUUGCUUGGGGUCGCUUAUGGCGGCUUUCAUUAUUCUUUACUCAUUCUGUCUAAAUAUAUUUGUUAACUUUUGGUGGCUUGGUUUUGUUUUUAUCUAUAACUGAUGAUUAAUCUUUUCAUGAGGGAUUACAACUCUAAUUUUAGUAAGGCAUUUUGUUGAUUAAGGACUUUAAAGAUUUAUCACC
Molecule: long non-coding RNA, 932 nt
Organism: Nicotiana tabacum (common tobacco)
Lineage: Eukaryota; Viridiplantae; Streptophyta; Magnoliopsida; Solanales; Solanaceae
Source: RefSeq, a predicted model, not a curated record